UACGUAGGGUGCAAGCGUUAAUCGGAAUUACUGGGCGUAAAGCGUGCGCAGGCGGUUUUGUAAGUCAGAUGUGAAAUCCCCGGGCUUAACCUGGGAACUGCGUUUGAAACUACAAGGCUAGAGUGUGGCAGAGGGGGGUGGAAUUCCACGUGUAGCAGUGAAAUGCGUAGAGAUGUGGAGGAACACCGAUGGCGAAGGCAGCCUCCUGGGCUAGUACUGACGCUCAUGCACGAAAGCGUGGGGAGCAAACAGG
RNAcentral lists this ribosomal RNA (253 nucleotides) under uncultured bacterium. RNAcentral's name for it is "partial 16S ribosomal RNA". It matches the Rfam family "Bacterial small subunit ribosomal RNA", at positions 524 to 776 of the family's 1533-position model. The record is from RNAcentral.